UGGAACGAUACUCUUUUAUUAUUACACCGGUAAAUCGUGCAUUUACGGAUUUACUACAUCACGAUCCCACCUAUUUGCCGCCACAUGAGUCGUAAAAUAAUCCACCACCUUCUUACGAAUCUCCAAGGGUGUAACCACCCAACCCUCAUCCUCCCUCAACACCUUGAUGGAAUUUCUACUAUUUCUUUGGGUUCACGUUAAGAAUUUAGUGUUUAUAUAUGUUGUGUUUUGAUGAUAGAUGUUUCAUUGCACUUCAUCUUUCCCUGAUAUGUUUCAAUGCCACAUGGAACUAUGGGUCAUAUUUAGAUAUUCUACUGAAACAAAUUAGUAUUCUAUUAAUUAACUACCAAUUCAAUCCCCAAAAAACCCAAGUGAAAUCACAACCCAAAUUAUGUAACGUUUAUGCCCAUAAUGCAUUUUGCUCCCUAGCUAGUAUGCCUCAAUUGAAACCUCAAAGUCUUAAUACAACAUCAAACUAUUCACAGCUUCAGCUCCUUCUCUGAGGCUUCUCUUAUAUCUUUAAUCAACCCCACCUCCAUCUUAGUUUAUUUUCCUGCACAUAUAUUAGAAAAGUGAAUUUGAAAUAAUAUAUUUUCUGCUUACAUGCUUUCAGACUUACAUAAACUAAGGUAUCAAUUUUUAUAUAUUUUCUGCAAGUGGUAGCGAUGUAAAGAAGCCACCAAUUCUUGAUGUGGUUAAGAAAGUGAAGGGGAAAAAUUGAGUAUGAUAAUAAUGGUAAGAUUCAUUUAGAAAGGUUUAUGUUAUUUGUCAAUGUGAAUGAGUUUAGGGAUGUAUUGAGAGAUCAAUGUGAAUG
RNAcentral lists this long non-coding RNA (814 nucleotides) under Medicago truncatula (barrel medic). RNAcentral's name for it is "long non-coding RNA (MTRU_LNC008303)". Lineage: Eukaryota; Viridiplantae; Streptophyta; Magnoliopsida; Fabales; Fabaceae. The record is from RNAcentral.